CUCGUGAGUUGGGCAGGAGGUGUGGGGGUUCCUGAACUGGCUCCACAGAUGGGGAAACUGAGGCCCAGAGCCAGGGAAGCACGGAUCAGAUGGAACUUCACCUCCAUCAAAGAUCCUUAGCCAAACAACCCGCACAGCUGUGACUGCGGGUGACAAAUGACUUCGGCAGCACGACUGUCAUGGCUUCUCCCUAAUGCAGUGUUUGGCAUCCAGCUCAAAACAGAAAUAAAUAAGGCGAUAUGAUCCGCUAAUGAAGUUUGCUGCUUGUUUGAAACUGAACACUGAACAGAAGGUUGAAAAAAUGAGGGACCAGAGGACUAACUCACCAAAGGCAGUAAGACACAGAUGAAAAAUAUUCGCUAGCAUCGAGCUGUUGGUGUUAUCAGCAUUAAUAAACAAUGCCCGUACUUAGA
This is a long non-coding RNA of Felis catus (domestic cat), 413 nucleotides long. RefSeq lists it as uncharacterized. The record is from RefSeq and is a predicted model, not a curated record. The transcript is spliced from 3 exons. Lineage: Eukaryota; Metazoa; Chordata; Mammalia; Carnivora; Felidae.